GACGAACGCUGGCGGCGUGCUUAACACAUGCAAGUCGAGCGGUAAGGCCCUUUCGGGGGUACACGAGCGGCGAACGGGUGAGUAACACGUGGGUGACCUGCCCUCAGCUCUGGGAUAAGCCUGGGAAACCGGGUCUAAUACUGGAUAUGACUCCAUGACGCAUGUUGUGGGGUGGAAAGCCUUGUGCGGCUGAGGAUGGGCCCGCGGCCUAUCAGCUUGUUGGUGGGGUGANGGCCUACCAAGGCGACGACGGGUAGCCGGCCUGAGAGGGCGACCGGCCACACUGGGACUGAGACACGGCCCAGACUCCUACGGGAGGCAGCAGUGGGGAAUCUUGCGCAAUGGGCGAAAGCCUGACGCAGCGACGCCGCGUGGAGGAUGAAGGUCUUCGGAUUGUAAACUCCUGUUGACCGGGACGAAUGGGCCUCGACCUAACACGUCGGGGCAGUGACGGUACCGGUUGAGGAAGCCACGGCUAACUCUGUGCCAGCAG
Molecule: ribosomal RNA, 493 nt
Filed under: uncultured bacterium
Lineage: Bacteria
Description: bacterial SSU rRNA
Rfam family: Bacterial small subunit ribosomal RNA
Source: RNAcentral